GACGAACGCUGGCGGCGUGCUUAACACAUGCAAGUCGAACGGAAAGGCGCUGCGGUAGUGUGCUGCUCGAAUGCCGAACGUGUGAGUGACACGUGGGUAAUAUGCCGUUGACUUUGGGCUACCUUCAGGGGACUAAGGCUAAGACCGGAUAGGAGCUCCUGCUGCAUGGUAGGGGUUGGAAAGUUUCGGCGGUUGGGGAUGGACUCGCGGCUUAUGAGCUUGUUGGUGGGGUAGUGGAUUACCAAGGCAUUGCCGGGUAGCCGGCCCGAGCGGGUGGCCGGCCAGACUGGGUCUGAGAUACGGCCCAGACUCCUACGGGAGGCAGCAGUGGGGAAGAGUGCACAAUGGGCGGAAGCCUGAUGCAGCAACGCCGCGUGCGGGAUGAGGGCAUGCGGGUUGUAAACCGCUUCCGCCUGUGACGAAGAGUGAGUGACGGUAAUGGGUAAAGAAGCACCGGCUAACUACGUG
This 468-nucleotide ribosomal RNA is filed under the name uncultured bacterium. RNAcentral describes it as "partial 16S ribosomal RNA". It matches the Rfam family "Bacterial small subunit ribosomal RNA", at positions 28 to 507 of the family's 1533-position model. The record is from RNAcentral.